GGAGGGGCCUUGGCUCAGUGGAAGAGCCUGUGCCUGGCAUGCAGAAGGUCCCAGGUUCAAUCCCCAGCAUCUCCA
This 75-nucleotide transfer RNA is filed under the name Sphaerodactylus townsendi. RNAcentral's name for it is "tRNA-Ala". Lineage: Eukaryota; Metazoa; Chordata; Lepidosauria; Squamata; Sphaerodactylidae. The record is from RNAcentral.